CGGCCUUGAAAUACCACCCUUUAAUGUUUGAUGUUCUAACGUGGACCCGUGAUCCGGGUUGCGGACAGUGUCUGGUGGGUAGUUUGACUGGGGCGGUCUCCUCCUAAAGAGUAACGGAGGAGCACGAAGGUUGGCUAAUCCUGGUCGGACAUCAGGAGGUUAGUGCAAUGGCAUAAGCCAGCUUGACUGCGAGCGUGACGGCGCGAGCAGGUGCGAAAGCAGGUCAUAGUGAUCCGGUGGUUCUGAAUGGAAGGGCCAUCGCUCAACGGAUAAAAGGUACUCCGGGGAUAACAGGCUGAUACCGCCCAAGAGUUCAUAUCGACGGCGGUGUUUGGCACCUCGAUGUCGGCUCAUCACAUCCUGGGGCUGAAGUAGGUCCCAAGGGUAUGGCUGUUCGCCAUUUAAAGUGGUACGCGAGCUGGGUUUAGAACGUCGUGAGACAGUUCGGUCCCUAUCUGCCGUGGG
RNAcentral lists this ribosomal RNA (465 nucleotides) under Shigella sonnei. RNAcentral's name for it is "partial 23S ribosomal RNA". It matches the Rfam family "Bacterial large subunit ribosomal RNA", at positions 2187 to 2651 of the family's 2925-position model. Lineage: Bacteria; Pseudomonadati; Pseudomonadota; Gammaproteobacteria; Enterobacterales; Enterobacteriaceae. The record is from RNAcentral.